RNAcentral lists this ribosomal RNA (147 nucleotides) under Triticum aestivum (bread wheat). RNAcentral's name for it is "partial small subunit ribosomal RNA". Lineage: Eukaryota; Viridiplantae; Streptophyta; Magnoliopsida; Poales; Poaceae. The record is from RNAcentral.
AUCAUCUAUACCAGCUACCACGCACGAUACCAGAGGAAUGAUUUUAUCGCCCUAAGAAGCAGAACGUGCCAUCACCUACAGCCCUUUCCUCUCCCGGGACUUUCACAAAAUGAAAAACGGGAGACAUCAUCGUGUGCUCGACAUUAG